Molecule: ribosomal RNA, 238 nt
Filed under: uncultured archaeon
Lineage: Archaea
Description: partial 16S ribosomal RNA
Rfam family: Archaeal small subunit ribosomal RNA
Source: RNAcentral
CUCGCUGGUGUCUCGCCACGAGUGCGACCGUUGUCGGUGCCGUAGGGAAGCCGUGAAGCGAGCCACCUGGGAAGUACGGCCGCAAGGCUGAAACUUAAAGGAAUUGGCGGGGGAGCACCACAACGGGUGGAGCUUGCGGUUUAAUUGGAUUCAACGCCGGAAAUCUUACCGGGACCGACAGCAAUAUGAAGGCCAGGCUGAAGACUUUGCCGGAUUAGCUGAGAGGUGGUGCAUGGCA